GAGAAAUUAGCUCAAUUGGUAGAGCGUUCGUUUUACACACGACAGGUUAGGUGUUCAAAUCACUUAUUUCUUA
RNAcentral lists this transfer RNA (73 nucleotides) under Curvularia kusanoi. Its description in RNAcentral is "Cochliobolus kusanoi tRNA". It matches the Rfam family "tRNA". From Rfam's summary of the family: Transfer RNA (tRNA) molecules are approximately 80 nucleotides in length. Their secondary structure includes four short double-helical elements and three loops (D, anti-codon, and T loops). The record is from Rfam by way of RNAcentral. Lineage: Eukaryota; Fungi; Ascomycota; Dothideomycetes; Pleosporales; Pleosporaceae.